CAACCUUGUAAUCGGGGGAAUCGGCCCCCGGGUAUCCACGGUCCGGCCGUAACCGGACGCAUCCAGGGAAA
This 71-nucleotide non-coding RNA is filed under the name Elusimicrobiota bacterium. RNAcentral describes it as "Elusimicrobia bacterium 29-dG-II sequence". It matches the Rfam family "2dG-II purine riboswitch aptamer". From Rfam's summary of the family: Purine riboswitch variant that recognize 2'-deoxyguanosine The record is from RNAcentral. Lineage: Bacteria; Pseudomonadati; Elusimicrobiota.